This 440-nucleotide ribosomal RNA is filed under the name uncultured bacterium. RNAcentral's name for it is "partial 16S ribosomal RNA". It matches the Rfam family "Bacterial small subunit ribosomal RNA", at positions 338 to 795 of the family's 1533-position model. The record is from RNAcentral.
CCUACGGGUGGCUGCAGUGGGGGAUAUUGCACAAUGGGGGGAACCCUGAUGCAGCGACGCCGCGUGGGCGAUGGAGUGCUUCGGCAUGUAAAGCCCUAUCAGCAGGGAAGAAAAUGACGGUACCUGACUAAGAAGCCCCGGCUAAAUACGGGCCAGCAGCCGCGGUAAUACGUAUGGGGCAAGCGUUAUCCGGAUUUACUGGGUGUAAAGGGAGCGUAGGCGGCCUGGCAAGCCUGAUGGGAAAUACCGGGGCUCAACCCCGGGGCUGCAUUGGGAACUGCCAGGCUGGAGUGCCGGAGAGGCAGGCGGCAUUCCUCGUGUAGCGGUGACCUGCGUAGAUAUUAGGCGGCACCCCAGUGGCGCCGGCGGCCUGCUGGACGGUGCCUGACGCUGCGGCUCGACCGCGUGGGGAGCAAACAGGAUUAGAUACCCCUGUAGUC